This is a non-coding RNA of Caenorhabditis elegans, 150 nucleotides long. Lineage: Eukaryota; Metazoa; Nematoda; Chromadorea; Rhabditida; Rhabditidae. The record is from Ensembl.
AUUCAGCGUUUGUCAAUACUAUACGCUAAAAUUAAGGCAAAUGGAAGGGACACCUUUAGGCGUUCGUGCCUACCUACCUACUUGGGUGCCAGGCGCAUGCCAAGAGCUGCGUGAUAGGAUUAGCUAAGUACGACGUUCCGCGAAAAUCAC